This 440-nucleotide ribosomal RNA is filed under the name uncultured bacterium. RNAcentral describes it as "partial 16S ribosomal RNA". It matches the Rfam family "Bacterial small subunit ribosomal RNA", at positions 338 to 795 of the family's 1533-position model. The record is from RNAcentral.
CCUACGGGUGGCAGCAGUGGGGAAUAUUGCACAAUGGGGGAAACCCUGAUGCAGCGACGCCGCGUGAGCGAUGAAGUAUUUCGGUAUGUAAAGCUCUAUCAGCAGGGAAGAAGAUGACGGUACCUGACUAAGAAGCCACGGCUAACUACGUGCCAGCAGCCGCGGUACUACGUAGGGGGCAAGCGUUAUCCGGAUUUACUGGGUGUAAAGGGAGCGUAGACGGCGAUGCAAGCCAGAUGUGAAAGCCCGGGGCUCAACCCCGGGACUGCAUUUGGAACUGUGUGGCUGGAGUGGCGGAGAGGCAGGCGGAAUGCCUAGUGUAGCGGUGAAAUGCGUAGAUAGUAGGAGGAACACCAGUGGCGAAGGCGGCCUGCUGGACGAUGACUGACGUUGAGGCUCGAAAGCGUGGGGAGCAAACAGGAUUAGAUACCCGAGUAGUC